CCGAUUGAAUGAUUUAGUGAGGUCUUCGGACUGGCGCUCGGAGCGGCCCAAGGGUCGCGCCGGCGUGCCGGAAAGAUGACCCAAACUUGAUCAUUUAGAGGAAGUAAAAGUCGUAACAAGGUUUUCGUAGGUGAACCUGCGAAAGGAUCAUUA
Molecule: ribosomal RNA, 153 nt
Filed under: Cybaeus iharai
Lineage: Eukaryota; Metazoa; Arthropoda; Arachnida; Araneae; Cybaeidae
Description: partial 18S ribosomal RNA
Rfam family: Eukaryotic small subunit ribosomal RNA
Source: RNAcentral